RNAcentral lists this ribosomal RNA (391 nucleotides) under Buchnera aphidicola. RNAcentral describes it as "bacterial SSU rRNA". It matches the Rfam family "Bacterial small subunit ribosomal RNA", at positions 85 to 478 of the family's 1533-position model. Lineage: Bacteria; Pseudomonadati; Pseudomonadota; Gammaproteobacteria; Enterobacterales; Erwiniaceae. The record is from RNAcentral.
UUGUCGGCAAGCGGCAAACGGGUGAGUAAUAUCUGGGAAUCUACCCAAAAGAGGGGGAUAACUACUAGAAAUGGUAGCUAAUACCGCAUAAAGUUGAAAAACCAAAGUGGGGGACCUUUAGCCUCAUGCUUUUGGAUGAGCCCAGACGAGAUUAGCUUGUUGGUAAGGUAAAGGCUUACCAAGGCUACGAUCUCUAGCUGGUCUGAGAGGAUAACCAGCCACACUGGAACUGAGACACGGUCCAGACUCCUACGGGAGGCAGCAGUGGGGAAUAUUGCACAAUGGGCGAAAGCCUGAUGCAGCUAUGCCGCGUGUAUGAAGAAGGCCUUAGGGUUGUAAAGUACUUUCAGCGGGGAGGAAAAAAAUAAAACUAAUAAUUUUAUUUCGUGAC